GCUCAUAACUUUCCAAAGAAUUCUCCUUUUGGGCUUUCUAUGCUUGGUCACAGCCCAAAGGUGAAUUUUUUGGGAAGUUUGA
Molecule: non-coding RNA, 82 nt
Organism: Ornithorhynchus anatinus (platypus)
Lineage: Eukaryota; Metazoa; Chordata; Mammalia; Monotremata; Ornithorhynchidae
Source: Rfam